Molecule: RNA transcript, 4009 nt
Organism: Ceratina calcarata
Lineage: Eukaryota; Metazoa; Arthropoda; Insecta; Hymenoptera; Apidae
Gene: Nf-YA
Gene name: nuclear factor Y-box A
Exons: 8
Source: RefSeq, a predicted model, not a curated record
ACGAAGCGCGGUGAGAAAUUAGCUGUUAGGAACCAGGCGCCAAGUUUCAUGAGAGCGCGGGAAAUAAAUGGUAGGGAUAAGUGAAGCGAAUAGAUUGGUCGGGUCCGUCGAGGCGCGGAGGGGCAUCGACCGGUCUGGCAUCGGGCUGCUAUCGGACUGGCAGGUCCCCCCGUUCAGUGCCACCAAUACACAAGAGCCGAGGACUCUCUAUCGCCGACCAUUGGUCCUCAAUUUGCCGACCAAUCAUUGGGAAAGUGCCCACGAAAAUAUCCAAUCGAUAGCAGUGAUUUACAAUGGAACAAUUGGGAGAUGGACAAGCAGUUGUGGUCGGUAGUGCCGGAGGCACCGUCCAAGUUGUUCAAAUGGGACAAGGAGGCCAAGCAAUGGCCAUGCUCCCACAAGCUAUACAAGUGGCAGCGCCAAAUGGUCAGAUACAAGUCGUUCCAGUAUCCAGUUUGACUAACGCAGGCCAGCAGAUUGUGAUACAACAGCCACAAACUCCACAAAUCAUUCAGACACCUGAUGGUCAAACGUACAUAUAUCAGCCUGUUCAGUUGGAAGGCCAGGUUCAACAAGCACAGCCAACUGUGAUUAACAUCAAUGGAAAUCUCAUGCAAAUCGCUGGAACAUCGCAGCAAGCAACGACCACUGCAGCGACUACAGCACCGGUACAGCCGCUAGCGAGUCCCACAGGAACAGCAACUCAGGCAGGAAAUGUUGUCAUGAUGGUGCCAGGAAACAGUGGACAGACUCAGUUUCAAAGGGUAGCCUUGCCAAAUGCAGAAGUCUUUGAAGAAGAACCUUUGUACGUAAAUGCCAAACAAUACAGGCGUAUAUUGAAACGUCGUCAAGCGAGGGCUAAAUUGGAAGCUGAAGGAAAGAUACCUAAGGAGAGACCAAAAUAUCUUCACGAGUCUCGUCAUCGACACGCAAUGAAUAGAAUUCGCGGCGAAGGUGGUCGUUUUCAUUCCGGUCAAGUAAAGAAGCGAAACAGUAGAACGAAUGACCCGAACACCACCAUCCAGCACAUUACGACCUCGGCCAUCACAAGUUCGACCAACAACUCCGUUCGUACUAUAGCAAUAGCAGCUGCAAACGUAGGCGUACAGUAUCGCGACACGGACAACAUGUCAUCCACGAUUGUUCUCGAAAAACGUGAUAUCCCGCUUCAAGAUAUGAUCUCUGAAGAAGAUAUUGUUAUUUCGAACAAUCGCUUGAUGUAGGUGUAAACCUUUAAAUUUAUUAAAAUUGAAAUUAGGCAAUGUGUGAUGUGUGAGAAAGCUACGAGGAAAGAAAGCGUGUCGUAGGUAACGAGAUCGUACAUAUUUCUCUUUUGAUCGUCAAAAGAACUGCCUGUAAAUAAUAUUAAUCUCGAUGACGAGAUAUAGUGCAGACAUAGUUUUUCAACAUAAAAUGCUGCGAAGGGUUAUCGAAUUUUGUAAAUAUCACAAGAUUGCGAAAACGUUUGCGUCUUAUAUUUUUUUAGCUUUCUUUUACGCAUAGCCUAAUAGAGAACUUGAUCGAAUACUAUUGCAUAGUAUCAUAUUACGGUGUAGUCGGAUCAACUGGAUACAGCCGGACAGAUCGGUGAUGAUAGGAAGAUGUAUCCGUCGAUUUAAAGAUGCUUUAGUGAUUCAUCUCACCGUCGACAUCAACUUAAAAUAUGCCCUGUACAUAAUCGAACGAUUGAUAAUAAGUGCAACUCGAGAUGUAGACCCCUUAUACGUAUCUUGUCAUCGCAUUCGAUCGAGAGACUGAGUCGUAUAACUUACUGUUAAGUCCUUGGGUACCAUUCAUAGAUUAGAUUUUGUAAGUGAAGUAACCGUAACUUGUAUUAAAAUAAGAGAUGGACAAAGUGCAAAGUUUUAAGAGACGUAUCAAUAAGAUUUUUUGUACAAUUCAAGUGCAAGUACAAUUAAUUUAAUCUACUGAGAAGCUACGUUAAGCGUGUUAACGUGUACAUGUUAGGGAUACAUUAUAUAGAGUUACACGUGUUUCAUGCAGUGGCUUGUAUAAAUAAUACGUUUUAUAACAAGAAGUUAAGUACUUUGCUUGAUUGAAUGAGGCUACUUAAUGUAUGAUGACCGAUUUGAAAGUUUAUUAUCGACAAAUUUUUGUACGUCGAAAGUCAGCCGUCAGUGUCAAGAAGCGGCUAACUGAGCAGCGGCCGCUCCCGCAAGGUAUACCGCAAGUAGAAGCCGAAAAACAAAUUGUUCCAGUCUCUAGUUUAACUGCUGAUGCAGCCAGCCAGCAGAUCGUGAUACAGCCUCUACAAAUCGGAUCGGAUCGGAUCGGAUCGGAUCGGAUCGGAUCGGGUUUUCCAUAGAAUUUUCGGAAUCGCUAAAGGUGGAUCACCUCUUCCAAAACUGUUUCACCUGAAAUUCCAACCUGGUUGAACUGGAACUGCUAGUAUUCAGGAAGAAAAUGAAAAUUAAUCGACUCUCAAUAUUGUAUAUUUCUUCACAUGUAAAAGAUCGACGAACGAAAUGUUCGGCAGUAUGCAUAAAUAAUUUAUAAAUCAAAGCUACGAUAAAUCAGGAGUGUAAAUAACUAGGCGAAGUAUAAAUGAUAAGCAGCAAGAUUAUCAUAGAACAUACGAAUAUGUUGUGUUCAGUGUGUGUGUGUGUGUGUGUGUGUGUGUGUGUGUGUGUGUGUGUGUGUGUGUGCGCGUGUGUGUGAACGACUUUGGAUCGUGCACAGACACCUCGAUCCUCAGACUCCUCUGAUGGAUGAUUUAAUUGAUUGAUUUGAUGCGUGUGCUUCGGAAGAUAAAUAGAAACUGUAAAUUGACGAAUCUAUUGAUAACGCAACGAGUUCCUAAAUGUAUUCGUUCGCGGAGAACAUGUGGAUUUUUUUAUUUUUUCUUCGACUUUCGUUGCUUUUUCUGCUAGGUUCCUUGACGGGGAAAAUAGUACUGUUACCAUAUUUAGUGUUUUUAGUUUCUUUACAUAUAUUUAUUGCAACAUCUCGUAUCUACUUCUCUCGUAUAUAAUAUUGGAAUGAUAAACUUCGUCAACAGCUUGUUCCUCAUUGUUCUUGACUUUUUAAAAAAUUGUUCUCGGUUCCAUUUUCAUUCUUUACUACUCCUGCUGCUGCAGUCUAUUUUUUCAUUCGUCAUAAAUUAUGAAUAGCUUGGAGGUCUUACUGUCAGUGAAAUAAAAAAUUCAUUGAAGCGCAACGAGAAGCAGAGACAUAAACUUAAACCAAGAAUAAUUUAUUAUUCUUUCCCCGUCUGUUUAUUUUCUCGUAUACGUUGCGUGAAAGGGAAAUGCGGAAUGGUUUAUGCGUCAUGCGAAUCCAAUUUUUCCUCUCUAAUAAUAAGUUCAAACGCAAACGGCCCAACUGUAAGCAGUAAGUUAACUGGAAAUUCGAUUGUCGAUUAGUCUGUAAUGGAAUAGGGAAAAGGCGUCUUGCUUUAUGAAUAGAAUAGUAAAAUUUCUUUCGAUGUGAGUUCCAUGGGAUCUUUCGUUCUUGCUGAGACACUUAAUAACUCGCGUAAUCAAGAAUCGUGUCUACUACCGGAUUAACCGGACUGUCAUCGCGUGACGAAACUCGCGUAUGAAAUUAUAGUGACGUAGAAAAGAUGGGCAACUAAUGAUUCAGAGGCCGUCAUCAUCUUCGAUUGAGCGACGAUAAAAUUGGUACUUGGAUGAACGAUUUUGACAAACUUAUGUAUAUUGCUCUCUGAUUGGGGUUUCCUCUAGCCACUUUCUCCAAUCAGACGGCGGCAGUGUCUCGUCAGUAAUAAUUAAUCAUUGUCUUCGAGGAUGAUCACGACCGAUUCGUAGUAACAGUGUACAAUCAAGCGACGAAUAAAAUUGAUUCAGACUCAAGGACAGUUUCUCCUAUCCAAAUUUUGAACCUGGUGUACUUGUAUGCAUACAUACUAAUUAUGAACGAACAAAAAAAAAUACAAUAAUGGAUGUUAUCAUAUUGUACCGGAAGGUGGAUGUACAUGUACCGACAUAUUAUAUGGAAAUAUAAUAUAUAUUAUAUAUGUAACGGCAAA